Non-coding RNA from Misgurnus anguillicaudatus (oriental weatherfish), 747 nucleotides. NCBI's taxonomy places the organism in Eukaryota, Metazoa, Chordata, Actinopteri, Cypriniformes, Cobitidae. The record is from RefSeq and is a predicted model, not a curated record.
UGUAUCUUUGUAGGUCUGGUGAGGAAUGCUGCACUUAUGUUAUUACAAGCAUUAUUUCAAGAAAAUCCCAGCUUCCUUUACUGUGUAAAUAGUGAACCCAAAGGUCCCACACCAACCAUAGUGUUCAACGGCUCUCCUGAUCUUCUCAAAUCUGAAAGUAUCAACUUUAUAAUGGACAAUGUGAACUUAAUAUGUGGAAGACAUUGACAUCACAGGCUGUGGAAUGACUGUGUCACAGGUCGGAGAAGCGGACCGCCCCUGUCGCGGAUCACGCUCCUCCUAGUUCCACCUCGAGAAGGUCCCAAAGCACCCCAAUGACCAGACAAACCAGAGAUAAGUAAAAUAUAGAAAUAGAAACUUUAUUUAAAUUAUUUAAAACUAAAGUGGGGAAUGGGAAAGGGAAUCUAAAAAUCUCGCUUCUCGCCCUCAGGGGGAGUAUUACGGGGCCAGGGACGUUGGAGGGGUUUCCACGUGACUCCAGCUGGAACACCGCUACAGAGCGUAUCUGGGUGGGUUGGGCACACACCGUCGCGGCGGCCCCUGAUGGCAUCCACAAAGGUCCAAGACCCUCCUAAGCUCCUAGCCAUAGCAGAACUACGUAUUUCAGCACCCGAAGGACUAACAACCCAGCCGGCAUCUGCAGCGUAUAUCCAACGCGAUCAAACUUCACUCUGACAAGUAACUUCCUAUACACAACCACGCCGUCCUUUCGCCCGGACCAGCCCCGCACUCUUUCCGCCCGCUACC